GGAUAGGACAGAUAGCAAGAAACCAAACGGUGCAGAGGCAAACAAAGGAACCCUGAGGAUCCCAUCAGCAGUGAUUGCUUUGCACACGAACGGGCUUGCUGGGAGGACUGACCAAACCUCAGUGAUAACAUCAGUGCUCCUCAGCUGAAAGUGGGAAGCUUGUAUUGCUCUACUGUUGUCAUAAGAAGGCACAGACUUUGGAAGCAGCAGCUCGUUCCUCUUACAAAUUUGCAGUGUAUUCUCCUUUUUUCCAUUCUGUACCAUUGAGUGUGAUGAUGAUGAUGGUAACUGAAGGAAACUUUUGUUUGCUUUGUUUGUUUUUCUGUUUUGUUUUGUUUUUCCCUGACUUUAUUUUUGAGCUACUAAUUUCAUUAUUUGAGGGUGUGUAUAAGAUUCUGGAAGCACAUUUUACAUCUGCUGUGCUGUGAGAUCUUUGGUAUGGUAUUGACUCAUUCAUUGGCACCUGAGAGAGGUUUGGGGAAUUCAGCAAGCUUUCAACAAUCCAGUUUGAGAGACUACACAGAAUUAUGUCUCGCUCAGGUUCGUCCUAAUUUUAUUAGAUUUCCACCAUUUCUAAUUGCAUAAACAUAUGCAGCCAAGUGUACAGAUGGGGACUGGGAAGACGUACAAGGACACUCAGAGUCUGUAGUCAGCUAAUUGGUGGACUAAGUAAUAGGGCACUUGGAAAGAUUGAUAAUUUUUUUUCAGAGCAUUUCAGGAGAAAAUUCUGUCCCCGUUAAAACUGUGGCAAUCAAGAGAAGAAAGAUUUUAGCAGUAGAUUUUUUUGGAAAUGGAGGAAGAGAUGAGCGUAAAAAUUUGAUGCAGAAAAAAAUCCAAGAGGAAGUAUGUUGUUAUGGGCAAGAUCUGCUGUUUUAGCCAUAGAAAGAAGGAUAGAGUGUUUCAAAAACAUAGAACAACUGGCUUGAUCCGUAUGGUGACAUCAGAAAUCUUUUGAUCAGGGCUAAAUACAACAGUUUCAAAUAUUGCCUGGGUAAAUGAGAAGUCAUUUAGUAUGAACACUGUUACUGGUAGGAAAUGCCAAAUUGUAUAAUGUUUUCAGAAAUAUUUUAUAUUUUCUUUUGGAAAAUAAAUGUUUUUGCUAGGACUAGAAAAGGUAUUGGACCACAAAUCCCAUUUCUGGUCAAAUGAUACCAUCUGAGGUACUGUCUGUUUAUAUGAGUGCCUUCACAUAAAGUAACACUGCUGUCCAUUCUUGUUCAGGAGAUGCUGCUGUUGGCUUAUUCCCUACCAUCACAGCAGGAGGGGACAGGAGGGAAAAAUCUUUGCUCAGUUUUUUGUUAUGAUCCAUCUUCAUCCAUGAUAUGGCAUCUGCACUGUGGAAUUCCCCUGAAUGAAAGGGAAUGACAACGUCUUCACCUCCUGAAGACAGGAUACAGCUCUCAGACUGAAUUAGCUGCAGCUGGAUAGCUUUUUGAAAUCUCCACAGUUAUCAGACCUGGAAGAUUUUUCUAUCGUGAUGGCCUGGGCUAGGCAUUUGGUGGACAGGCUGUCUCUGACAGAAGAAUACAGUUCAUCAAAAGUGUCUGCAGGUUGUCAAACUCAGUGAGAUUUGGGGACACUCGGAGGCUGUCAUGGCCAACAAGAAGAUUUUCUGUAGGGUUCUGCCAUCAUUCACCCUCAGGAAAUAAUCACUCACUACAUUCUGCAUGCUCUCAUGAUAGAGCUCUAUUUGAGAGAAAAGAGCCAUUUUAUCAAAGGACAAUAUAUCCCUUCUCUUGGUCCAUGCAGCUUCCAUUAUCAGACCAUAAUAAAUCAUAUUUAUGUUCUCAGUUAAUAAGACUGAUUACAAUGCAGGUUACAGGCAUGGGAAAAGCAAAGCAGGUGAAAAGAUGUUUUAAUGAAAAUAUGAUAAGCAAACAGCUUCUUGUGAACAUUUCAGGCUGUUAUUUGUAAUGAUCACAGGCAAUUUUUGAUACAUCUUCUUUAGCAAUGGUUUAAGCUGCAUAAAUUGGCUUGCCACUUUAUACGUUGAAAUAGGAAGAAUCCCAGUGUCCUUAUGUUGUCUAGAAUCAUUAUAUACAUUAUAAGCAUAAAAUGAGUUUAAUGUAUGUGCUUUGAAAAGAAGGGGAAAACAGAAAAUCAGGGAGGACUGAUUUUAAUGCUGCUCAAAAUGAUUUUGAAAUUUUCUGUUCAUCUUUGUUACUAACGGUGCAUUUUCCAUGAAAUUUAGGAAUGACAUGUGGUGCUUUCAUCUCCUUAAAAUUAAUAUAUUUCUCUUUCUGUUUUCCUCAAUUUCUUCAAAGUUCUUUUUAGAACACUGUGCAAAGAGACAGAGAGAAAAUUUUCCUCUCGAUGAGUGAAUAUAUCUGUUAUUAAUGCUGGGGGGGAGUUAAGUGUGUGCUUCUAGAGGAGAAUAUACCCCUGCAUUAAAUAUUGAAAUAAACAGUAUUAAAGAGGUGCAAGGAUAUUUGGCUGCAGCACACCUGAUGCAUUCAAGGGCCAAAUUCCUUAGAAUCUUUUAAAGUGAUUAAGAUCUUUUCUGUUAAGAGUUCUCCAAUGAUUUCAGAGUAUAACUGUACCUAAAUAGCUGAUGAAAUGUCCUGCUCUUGUCUUUUGAAAAGCUUUCUUUUAUGUUUUAUUGUUUUCUUUUUUGUUGCUGUUGUAGUCAUUUGGUUUAUGUUGAGCAUCAUAUUUUCAAGACAAAGUUAAAAAUUUAAAGAAUAAUUUCCUCCUGCUAGCACGUAAUGCUGACUAAGUAUUUCAAAAUCUACAGCACUUGCAGAAUGCAAGCAUUAUGCUUAUAAUUUUUAUAAUGAUUCUAGACAAUAUAAGAAGGACACUGGGAUUCUUCCUAUUUUGAUAUAUAAAGUGGCGAGCAAAUGCAGAAGUCUCCAUGGUGUUGUGUGUCUGCAGGAAAUGUUCUGAUACUUCUGCAACUCUCUUAAACAAAUGUUAAAGCUUUGUAAUGGGCCUGGCAAUGGAGAAUGACCAUGAAAUUCCCUUAACCCUUAUAGGGCACUUCAGCAGGAGAAGUGAUCACACAAGAAACAAUAAACUGCUCUUCAAAGGCAGUAUCCUGAUAUGACAACAGACAUAGAUAAUGCACUUCAUGAUGGAACUGCUUGAUACGGGGAAAAACAUGUUGUAACUGCCUUCAGUAUGAAAGGGGUUUAAAAAUGCUGCUUGCCAACUCCGCAAAAAACAGAGCUGCUAUUUCAGUUAAAGGCCAGUGGAUUGUAUUUUUCAUGUCAGUUUUCACUAACCUCAAACAUCACUGUUAUGACAGACUGUCAUCCAACCAAACCAGCACUGUGAUGCCAUUCAGGCAAGAAGGAAGAAAGCAAACACAAAGGAAACUUAGAAGUCCGAAUAGUGAGAGGGGGUGUCUGUGAGUGCACUUUUGUGCAGUGAUACUGAUUACUGAAAAUGAAACACUUAAAAGAAAAUAAACCCAAAAAAGUGCUUUCUGAGCCAUUGGUGCUUUCUUGCCUGCCCAUUUCUCUUUGUUCUGUUUCAUGACAUCAGCCUUAAUGGUUGAAAGGAUGUUCUGGGCCAGAUGUCAAUCACUAUGUCUAACAUAAACAAAAAUAGCUAAAAAGACAUGCCAGCAUCUUCCUUUUGUUUUCCCAUUAGCUCCAUUUUUCUUUUCAGAGGCUGACAAAAAAUUACUGCCUCCGAGUGAAUUCAGUAAUGUCACUAUAUAUCUAAUAUCUAGGAGACCUUUUGUUUUAGCUUUACUGGGCUUAACCACAAAAGACACUUGACAUUGACAAAGAGUCUGUCAAAUACACAAUGAUCAGUGCAAUGAAAUCUCUCAUGACAGAAGGGCACUAUUCUGCACCCCCAGCCCGCAGCAGCCUGUCUGAGCAAAAUGUGCCGGAGCACACGCAGCAGCUGAACCAUUGCAGAGUAGGCCAUAAGCUGAGAUGUGUCUUGUUUAAAGUGUCAUAGUAUAUUAGUGUAAUUAAAACCGCCAAAAGAAUAGAAAAGAUAGAUGGAAAUGUUACAUUACUUGUUUCUAGAGAUUAACCUCCAGCCAGAACUGAAAUACAGAGACACAUUUUGCAUGUCUUAGAGCUCUGAUAUGGAAGAAAACAAGCCUGAGAGUAUGUCUCUUGAAGUGUGAGACAUGAAGUCAUAGUUCCUGUAUUUACACAAUAAAGCAGAAAUAGCGUUUCAGACAGGCACGCUGUUUUCUCUCUGAUUACAGCUCCCGUUGUGGCUGUACUCUGCAAAGCAGCUGUAUCAUCUCUCAGCUACUUCCCUUUUACUCUCUCUGCCUUCAUGCUUGGAAGGUCUUGAGGACCCUUGGGCCCACGAAUGUGCUGGUGUCAAUGCUUUCUGCUCCCUUGGCAUCUGCCAAUGUUGUGUGGUUCUAGCCUGGAGGCAGAGCACCCUGUCCGCUCUGGUGGCUGCAGAAGCCAGAGCUCAGCUCCAGACUCAGCAACAGCCAGCUAGGAAGAUGUUUGAAGAAUCUGACCUUUGUAUAUACCAGGCUGCGUGCUUGCUUCUCUGUUGAGUCUAUAGAUAAAACUGCAUGGCUUUCUGAAAUGGACCCUGAAAAUUAUGUUCUUGGCACUGUAUGUUUUCCUUCUUGUGCAUCAUUACUUGUGAUAACUAUUCAAGCCUAACUAGUUAUCUAGAUCUCUGUUUCUAACUAGAUCUCUGUUUCUAACCGUGACACAAGUUAUAUCUGGUGGUGAGAAAUUUUUGGAGUUUUUUAUGGAGCUGUUCAGCUGUAUAGGCUGAACCUUGGUUUAUCUAGAAUCUGGAGAGGACCUGAUCUGGCUUCAGCAGUUCUGAAACACUACAAAAGCAGCAUGGCUUUCUUCUGAAAUUUUUUCAUUUCAUUUCUUAAUGCAAGGAGAAGAUGCAUUAAUCAGGUAGGUCUCAUGUUCAUUUCUUCCACUAUAAAUGAACUUCAAGGCCUUGCCCCAUUAGUUGAUCAGUUUGAAUUUGAGAGAUGUUAAAUAUAGGCCUUACAUUUUAGGUUUCCUCAUAUGUCCUCUAUUUCCCAGCUUUAAAUAUCAGUUAAUGACUUCUCCAUAUAGCACUUCUCUUUAAUUUCUAGUCAGAGGCUUUAAAUGUGCACUGUUAGUCAAAAAUAUGUUAUCUGCAUUUAGUGGUGGCUUCUGGAGCCCUCACCAUGAAGUUACCUCACAAUCGCAUCUCUCCUCACAUGAUUUUCUGAGUACUGCCAGGAGAAGAAUGGAAAAUAACUAUGAAAUAAAAGCAGAUUCUGCUCCCAGUACAGGCAAUGAAAACUCUUUUACUUCUACUUGCUCAUAAUAGUGGGGGGAAAAAUGAAGUGGAAACAAGCACAACAAAACACCUCUGCCAGCUAUCUUUAAGCUAACCAAGGCUUCCACUAAUGAGGUGGUCUGGCAUUUUGAGAAAGACAGGUUUUUUCCAGAAAUGGAAAAAAUAUGCUAUUUUUUUUCCUUUGACUCUGAGAGCAUAGUGAGAGAGAAAGAAAUCAUAUUUCAAAAAGCAAACUUUUAAUGCUGUCUGUAUUAUUAAGUGCUUACAGACACCAGUAUAGUUUCUUGUCAGUUAUGUUUUUGCAUAUUUGUUUGUUAGAUUACUAAGUACUUUCCUAAAAACUAGAUAUUUGCUGUAUUUACAGAUUCAUCUCAGUGACUGUGAAAUUCCUGAGGAUGUUAUCACUUUCAAGUCAGAUUAACAGAGUAAUUUCCAGUUACCACCAGUGAAGAGAUUCCUACCAAUGCUGGCAGGCAAUUGUUCAGUCUUAUGGAGCUUCAAAUAACUGUACAGCUUGAAAGUCUAAGCAUUACACACCUUCUUUGAAGACCUACCAGACAGAACCCCCAGAGGUCCUUUGUUUUGUAGUUCACCGAGCAGUGAGCCAAACAGUGGAUCUGUGGGUGCUUUUGGGUCAUCUUCGUCUUGGGGCUUUCUUCUGAGAGACCACCUCUGUUUAGACUGGAGUCCUUCUGAACUGUGGGAAAGAGCUCUUCCAGCUGCCGAGUGGUGACCCCAGACAUCAUCCUGAGGAGAUGUCCCAGAGCAUCUGUCUGGACUGUGAGGUUGCUUUCAGGCUGCUUUGAGUGAUCAUCAGGGGAGGGUAUGGAUGGUACUCGAAUCCUGACCUACGUCUCACACUCUUGUUCUAGACCCUGGUGCAAGCUGCUAAGCCAGGCUGCCUUUCCCUCCUCCUUUUAACUCACGUGUUCUUUGGCAUGCCUCCAAACUGAAUGCAGUAUGGAGGAGAAGGUCUGCAAGUUUCUGGAGCAUAUAUACACAUGUGGUCAGAUCCCCAUCUCGUUAAAUUAGCAUGUGGAGUGGAGACCAGCUACUGAUUUAUGUUUUCAUCUGUGAAAGGUAAAUUGGAUUGAAACUGUUUAACACACUGUUUAAAAAGAGGAGCUGAGAUUCUUGGUUACAUUUGAUUUCUAAAUUAGAAAGCACAUGACUAUGUUUCAUGGACCUGAAAGAACUGGGUCUGAGUUAAUAUCAUGCCUAUACCAUUGAUUUCACUUGAGCCUUUUGUAUCAGAAACCACAUGUACACAGAGACUCACAUUGUGAAGCAAGAUUAAUUUAGCUUUUGGAAUAUUAUGUGCUGUAUAAGAAUGUUCUGUGAAUGACCUGGAUUGCAAAUUUUGCUUCUUAAUAUUUGCAGUGCAAAGCACUGGUGACAUGAAAUACUUAAUGGUUUCAGCUGAACUUUGCAGAAAUGAGAAUGACAGGCACCCAAAAUAAGAUACAUGGUGGAGAGCUAAGCAACGUAAGACCUACUGAGUUAGAUAUUUAAGCCUCAAUCAAAAUGAUAAUAUAGAUGUGAAAGUGGUUGCAAAGAAUUUAGAGCUGCAGUCCUAGGAACAAAAAGAGAUGGCCCCUCUCUUGCAGAAAGUUAAUCUGUUAUUACUCUCAGCUCUAAUUAUGGGGAGCACAACAGAGUGAGUUACCAGGAAUAUUUCCCUGUUAUAGUUUAAGAGGUUAUUUUAGUGUUUCAAAAAUGUAUCCACUUUUAGGGCCAAAACUCUUGGUUCUUCUCUUUGAAUUGUUAUAGCAAUAGCUGAAAUAGAGCAAGCUUCCUAUGGUGAACCUACCUUAAAGAAUAGGGCCACUUGAGUUAAUAGAAGUAAAUUAAAUGUGUGCAAGCUCAGUUUUUGAUGUGCUUCCUAGCAGUACCAAUUCAACUCAUCCAAGUUCCUAAAGGAACAUGGAAAUGAGGCUAUUACCCGUAAGCGAAAGCCGCUAUAUAUUGUCCUAGUGAUCCCUUAUGUGCAGUUGCACUUCAACAUUACCCACUUUUAUGUCAGUAAAAAAUUGGACUACUUGGCAGUUGCAAUUGCUGAGUUUAUGAAGCUUAAGCAGCAUAGAUUACAGCUUUGUACUGGACAAGAGACAGUAAAACCAUGGGUCUCCUCUGUUGUGGUUCUUGCUGGUUACCAACCAAUAUCUGCUAUUUUUCCCAAGCACAUAGAUAUGCUUCUGCAGAAAUUAUCCUUGCUCCAGUAACAGAGAUAGUAAACAUGUUCCUUACUCAUAGUAAUGAGAUGCAGAAAUACCAACUUUUCUUGAACUCAGUAUUGCUGAUAAUAACUUUUACUCUUAGAAAUUUGCAUUCUUCCAUGUGUCUGGAUUGAUUCCAGCCUUACAUGUUCAUGUGCUCUCCUAGACCAAACAAAUUUCCUCCUCAGUGCCUCGCUGAAACACCACAUUUUGCUGCCUGCUUGGUCCUUCCCCACAGAAGAGGCCAAACAAGCAUUCCCUAAAGCACCACAAGUAAAGCCAGCCUGGUUAGCUCAUAUCCAUGUUCAUCACCAGGUGAAAUGAAUCUGGCUGACUUAGCUUAAAGCAGAUUAGAAGGCAAUUUGUGAUCCCUCUCACUAAUGGAGCAGUAUGCUGGGUACCCAGAUGGCAGCAGCAAGCACUGAAAUAGGGCUAUCGCCUCCCAGAAGAGCUUCCAUGCAGCCUCAGGUUUUCUCACCACUCCCAUCAUUAAACACAGUUUCGCACCCCUGAACUUUCAUGCUUUUUCUACAUAACUUCAUUUAUUUUUACCUUAGUGGCCAUAACUAAAGAUAUAUUUUGACAUUUUAAAUGAGUCUUCUCUGUUCAGCCUGCUCUGCCUGUCUUUAUUAAUUAAACUUGUGUCUUCAUAUCAGAUUUCUUGAGCUCAUCUCUUUCCGUUUCAGCUCUUUGCUUUCCAUUUGCCUUCAUUAUACCCUUCCAUCCUUGAACUGCACUGAACUCUUGCUCCUUCCACAUCUUCCUGUACAAUACUCAGAUCUGCUACAUCUCUGCCUAAUUUUAUCAUGGCUGAUGCAAAAUCUUAGCUGCAGAACCAGCAGUAAGGGGACAGACUUUUCUCUUUGCCACAUUUGUUCUCAGUCUUCUAUAAAAUCUUGGCUGAAAAUGAAGGACAUUCUCUACUGUGACCAUAACUCUGCACCCCUCCUUUCUCUGCUAGUCUUCCUUCUGGGAUAUGUUUUAAUACAUUAUCAUCCAUGGUAACUGCACGGUUUGUAUCUGCAGCUUUUCAAUAUGCUUGGAGUCAGGGUUUUCCAGGUGAAUCAUGUAUUAAGAUUUAAUCUGAAUCUAGUCAGAUAGUAUUGACCUGCGUUGAAAAAGCUGUAUGAAUGAGAUAGUAGCAGACAGCUUGAAGUGCUGAGUGAAAAACAAUACUCCAGAAGUUUGGUGGCAGAGAGCCUAUGGGACAUUUCUUACUGGAAAAACUUCUUUGAUUAUUUAAAUAUUUUGAUCUAUUUUUAAAACUUUCCCUGUCUGUUGAAGGUUUGCUGGACUUUGCCUGCUUUGGCAGUGUGCGCAGCACGGAGCUUGCAGGAGCUGCUCACUGCUUGACAACCAUGUAACCAUGCUACCAGAACUCCUGAUACUACUCUUAAAGUGGACCUUUCUUUGAGAAAGAAAAUGAUUCCAUCUUUUUUGAUCAGGUUCUUCCUCUAGAGGAGUUCCUGCAGCUACAGGACCAGGAGAUAGGAGACUGCUGCAGGGAGGCAUGUGCAUUAGCAAAUGAAGUCUGAUACAUUGCAGCCAUGGGGAUCAAGUUGGAAGAGUGUGCAUUCACUGGAGCUCUGUAACCCAUGUGCUCUUCAGAUGACCUCAUACACCUCACAGUUGCCAGGACUCAUCCUGUCUGGAUUACAGGUUUCUCUCAUUUCUGCUUCUCUCAGUGAAGUUGUCCUCAGUGCUCACCUCACGUAAACAACUAGGCUCAGUGGAGGACCAUCCUCAUCUGGUGGCUCUUUGGCACAAGUGCCAUAACACUUGCUCAUUUAUUAUUAAAAAAAAUGUUAAAACUCAGAGGAUGAAGAAUGAAUUAAUCCUUGGAACAUGUGCAUAUGGUUUAAAGAGAAAUUCAACGCGUUUACUGAAUUCCUGUUUUUCAGAUGUCUGAGGUCAAGAAAAGGUUAAAGUUGUUCGCAAGCUCUGGCCUUAGAAGUUAAUUCAGUGCUAUGCUGCGAGAGCUACAGAGUGGGCCCUUGGAACAGUGAAUUGCUGGUUUGAUAUCAAGGUCUGUGGGCUUUAAUAAUAUAAUUAGUUUGUUUUCUAAGGAAAUCCUAGCAGGGAUAUUAUGGUCAUAUAAAGUCAUUAUACUGUUUUACAACAUAACUUUAAUGAUGUUUUGGAAUGAUCAGAGUCUCUGGGAAAGGAUUCUAUUUUUUAUUACUUGUGGGAUAUCUUUAAACUGUCAUAGCCACAACAGUGCUGCUUGGAAUAGGUGCUCUACAGUUCCAAAGAAAAGACAAAAGAUAUUUAGAGGCCUGAGUUGGGUUGCUGGAGCAUAUCUGUCCAUAGAAAGCCUGAAAGUUAAAUUGUGUGGAUUCCACACCCUUCUGACAAGCAGCUCCUGUUUUGUAGGAGGUGGACAGUUGGGGUAAUCUAGGUAUUUUAUUGCAUUACCACAAGAACAGAUAGAGAGCCUAGGAUGCUACAAGUUUUGCUUUUCAUAGUUCUCUGUCAGAAUUCAGGAGUGAGCAGUUUUAAAAGUAUUAGAAAAGGAAGAGGGCAUAUUUUCCAGAACUUUGGUAUCCUGCGAACUCAAAGACAGAAGAAAAAUUAAACUAGUCAAACUAAAAAACUAGUUCUGCUGCCAUUUCUGCUCUGCUAAUUCUGAGGCAACACUGUUUGCUGGAGGAGAAGAGAGACAAAGAACCAUUAAUUUGGGAUGAGGGGAGCAUGCUACAGAGAGGUUUCCCUGUGGUGCAGAGUGGCUUCUGGAUGUGCUGAGGGACGGGUCUGUUAGGGCCUCAUUUUCUUCCUCCUCUGUAAACUAUGUCUAACAGCUUCAAUGAGAGAAAGCAUCAAGCCCCAUCGUGUUCAUAGAAAUACAACAUAUUUUAAAGCUGUAGUUAAUGGAUAAGCUGCUUUCUGAUUGGGUGAGCUGCACAAUAAAUCUCUGCAUGAGCCAAGUGCAAUGCAGCUUGUUCAGGAACAGUGAAAUGAGCCACUGUCACUUUGCUGCACUCUCAUACAUCAGGCAAAACGCUUCCAUCUUCAUCAGUCUUUUAGUAAAACAGAAAUAAAACAAUCGUAACAGAAUGGUGUCACUGGAUCCGUGGCACCUGCUUUAAAAAUAAAUCUCUGAGCUUUGUCUUUGCUAUUAUUUUCAAUAAAUGUCCUAGCAUUGCCACAGCAUUUAUCUAGCAGCAGGAAACCAUUAUCCUAUGACAACAAUCUAUUCCAUUAACAUUAGCUCUUAAUUGUAAGAUUGUUUAUAAGACAGCAAAAGCUACUGAAUUAUACUAGAAUGAUAAAAAGAGUUAUGGUCAUGGAGUAUAGCAGUCACUCCAGUUCUGAAAAACAACUUUAGAAAAGUAGAGAGCUAUAUUUUCAUAUGAAAAAUAAUGUAAUAUUUGUAUGCGAGAAAAUGUUUUUAAAUAAUGUAUUACAUCAGCAACAUAACUCUUAAAGAGUUAAUGUUAAAAAUUGUUACUGAGAAGCUUUUGCUUUGAUAAAUAGCGUAAGAAAAAAGCUGAAUAGAAAGCUCAGAAACUUGCAUAGUUCUUCCUGAAAGGCUGUACUGAGUCAAACAGAGAAUCAUAGUAACAGAAGCACAUUUGUCUGGCGGAGUCAACAGAAGGAAUGUUGCAAAAUUGAGAUAUGAGGAACCUGACUGCAGAAAAGAAGAACUGUCAUUCUGAUUGUUUGUCAUUAUUGUUUCAUGUCCAGUUAAGUGAACUUCGAGUGACAGUUGUGCAAUAACUACUGGCAUCUAUGUAAAUUUCAAAUCAAAUGCAAUAGAGGCAGUUCUGCCAGACACAAGUCUCCAGACUGCUUUUCCUCUUUACUUUGGUAACCCUCAAUUUUCUUAUACUAUGCUGUUAGCCCUUAAAUUAAAAAGACAACUUCAACAAGAGAUCCCUUUAAUGUGUGCUUUUCAGAUCUCAUUCCGUACCUUAUUUUUCCCUCAGCUCUUCAAAACAAUAGCUGAUGUCAACAUUUCUAUCAGAAACAAUCACCAUAAACAUUUAGAUAUAUUAGCAGAAAGUGCUCCUUCCCAUCGAUCACAUACAUCAAAAUCCUUGGAAACUUUUAAGUUGUGGACUUCCCCUGAAGACCUAUAGAGAAAAUGGCUCAAGUGAACACUCCUCCGUUCCUUCAGUGGAGCCCGAGUCAGUUGUGACGAGCAUCUGCUCUGUGGGUAGGUGCAAAACACAGGGCGAAAAUAUCAGCUGUGGAUCCCUUCUGUAAAUAAUAGCCUCGUCCAGAGGUUAUGGGGCCUUCACAAGGACACCAGUCGCACCCCUCCAUGGCACUGUGUUGCAGUAAGUAACUCGCUUCCUGGAUGCACUUGUAACAGGCAGGUAUUCUAACGACACAGGAUAUGCAGAUGUGUCCAGGUCUUUAAAGUCUUCCAAUGCAAUUAUUAAAAUAUUACGUGCAGAUAACGCCACCAAAAACAUUGAGCAUGCUGUUCAUUCAAUUGAGCAUGAAACAACUUCCUCCUGAAUAUUUUAAACGUACUUGACUAAUUAAUUAAACAAUUAAUAAGGGCGAGAGUUAAAUUUCUAUUUUUCAUUGUAACAUUGUUUCAGAGCAUUGUUUUAACUAAAUUCUGCUAGGACUUUUUUUGGAAACCACACCAAAGUGCAGCUAUGAUGUUAAACAAAAAUGUUCCUUUGACAAAUGAAAUCUUAAAAAUGGCUACAAGAAAGGAAAAAGUCAGCUUUGAGUGGAAAACAUUUAAUAUGUUUUGAUGAUUUCUUAUCUCAGACAGAAGAGAAGACAAGUUGAUCUUCUCUGCUGAAACUUUUUGAAGUGAGUUCUGACUGAAAAGAUGUGGUGUUUCAACAAAAACAAAUUGUUAUAAAACAUGAUGUAUGCUCAGAAGCAUUAAUGUGUACCUCUCUGCUCCAGGUUUGAACAUUUCUGUCCAUUGAACUAGCCUGUUUCAUUUAUUUUUUAAAUCCUUAUCCAGUUGAUCUUUUUUUGUUCUUCUAUAAGUUUACAGUAGUUCAAUGGCUGCUUUUAUCUGUGAUUUGGGCUUUCAAACAGCACCAAACUCUGCUGUCCCAUCCUGUAAUCUGUCCUUUUGUUAUGGCGACUAGUGAACAGAGGCAACAUGUUAGUGCAAGCACUAUAAAAAUAUCUGUGAAGAAAACAUUCUUCCACUCUAAAGGUUAAGUUCCAUAAGAAUAUAUAUUCUUAAGUAUUUGCACAAUACUUAAAUAUGGUAUGGAUUUUUCUUUUUAAAGGUGGUAAUAUCCUAAUCAUAAAUGUCUUCUUGUUUAUAUGUAUCAUUUUACAGAUUUGUAAUCACAGAAAUCAAUUGCUAGAAUCCAUUUAAGAAAAUCAAAAUAAUUUAACUGAUUUACUUAAAAAAAUGCCUUGUUAGACCACGGAAUUUAAAGUCCUCUUUCAAAAUUAAGGAUGUUUUAUGUAGCAAACUUAUCAUUACACAUUACAUUCUAGUGGCACGUAAAGACUUCUGAUUUAAAACAUGAAUUCUGUGUAGGUUCAAACUGAUGUCUUUGACUUCAGUUCCAGAACUCAAUUUCAGGACUUCUGCUGCUGGUGGCUCAUGGCAGUAUAUUAGUUCUUCCAAUAGGGAUGUGCUCAGGACAAAUUAGUGAACGUAAUUUUAGCUGUAUGAGGUCAUUACAAAUACAGUCUUAGCUCUUCCUAGAGUGGACUUCAUUGUUAAUAUAAAUAUAUAUCUAUAGUUACUGACAUUUAUAUUAUUUGGCUCCUGUCCUAAGUUAUGGAUACAGUGAUGAUAAAAGCCCUUACCUAAGUGAGUCAUGCUUACUAAUUACUUCCAUGGUACUGGGUUCCUGUAAAUAAAGUUGCUCAUGUAUUUAUAAGCAAGUCAAAAUUUAUACAUACGUUUCUAAGAGAGAGUUAUCUUUCUCUCUGGGGCAAACAGCACAGUCUGCUGUUUGGAAAAGAAUGCUGAGAGUAAGGACAUCCAGGGUGCUUCCUUGCUUCUGCGAGGGUGUGUGCUAUCCCCUCUUGUUGGAUAUCCAAGUAAAAUACUGAAUUUGGUCACAUUUUUAAAUUAAGACCCUUCUGCAUUAUUUCAAGGUAGGAAAUGGCUGUUGAUUUUUCCUGGCUGUUUCCAAAGAGGCUGGGGUAAGAGAGUCUCGGUCUAAUUGUUUGUUCUAAAGAUGUAGCUUUCAAGACACAAAGCCUAGCAGUGUGACGUGGAAGAUCUCAAGACAAAGCAGCAGCCUCAACAUUUCUCUCUAAUGAGAACAGGAAAAGACAAUUGAGAUCCCGUAGGAAUGCAGUACGUUUAGGAGAGAAGCAGAGCUCCCUUCACGAAUGGUGAGAGAACCCUGGUGAAUGCUGGACUACCUGCUGUCUCUGGGUGUGACUAGGUGAGUGAAGGAUUUGGAUCACAGCCACAGUAACGUUUUCCAGACAUUUAGAUUGCAACUACUACGCCAGCAAUUUUAUGCCUUCCUUUCUCUGACUCCAACAGUACGCAAGAUAAGCAGCCAGAUUUUCUUCUGCAUUGUGUUUUUUAUCCAUUCAGCCAAAAUUAACAGUCUUCAAGGAUAAUGUAUGCCAAGUGAAUUUAAAUCUUGCGGACUCAAAUCGACCUAAAGUUGAUGGAUACAUUCAUGCCUACUGCUGAAAUCUACCAAUUACACAGAACUAUGCUAACUUACCAUAGAAACAUCUCAUCUAAUAGCACAGAUGAUGUUGAACUAACUAAUUACAUUAUGGCACAUAGACAAUGAAAAACAUAACGAAGAUGACAGCACAGCAACAACAGAUGCUGCACAAAAGAAAAAUUAGAAAAAUAUUGCUCUGCAAAAUGCUGUCUGUUAAGGUUUCUUCUGUUAAAAUUAAUCACAAAAAUUAGUGAAGAUUAGAUUUCAGCAGCAGAUAUGAGCAUUGUAAUGCUAUUUGGAAAACGUCAUUAAACCAUUUAAAGUCCUGCUCCUUCAGAAGGUAAUUCCCAUUUUUCGUAUCACUAUCAGUUUUAAGAUGAGUAAACAGUUUAGUGCCGAUGGCAGUUUCUUGGGAGAAUAUCUUUCCCAGUGAGGAGAGGUCCCGAUGGCUCCUCCAGUGCUGUGUUUGGUAGCUUCCAGCCAUUAGAACUUAGAUAAUUAGGCAACUCAGAUUUUAUUUUAGCUUGGCAUUUGCUCCGGUCUGUGCUCUUGGCUGUCAGUGACAGUUGAUUAUCUGUAGCGUGCCUUGUUACUUGAUAUAUUUUAAACUGUAACAGAUCCUAAAUUCCAAAUCUGAAACUGCUGAGUAUGUUUAAAUGUAAUAUAUACACAGGGAUUACAUCCAGAUGAUACACUUCAUAGACCUGUGAUAAAAAAAAAAAGCAUCACUUCUAGCCACUACGCUGGUCCUCAGCCCCUGCCCCCCUCCCCCCAGUAGCUUUCCAUGAGCUCCCGGCUGCUUCAGCACCAAUCCUGAGUGUAAUCUAGUUGAUGGAGAGAGACAGAAAUGGGCUUUUCCCCUAAAUAUAUAUUUCCUCUAGAAAUGCUUCUGAUGCUAUUCAAGUUUCAAUACGUUAUUGGCUUUAUAAGAAAGCAAAACAUCUAUUUGAUAUCCUGUUUCUCCCAAUUUCUUUAUUUUUUAGAGAGACACUUUUUUUCUCUUCAGAUGCGCGAUUCCCGGGCGCGCAGCUGCUCGUCCGGCGGCGGCCGGGGUGCAGGCACGGCGGAGGCCCACAGGUGGCGGUGUGGUUCAAGCGCACCUGGGCUGUGAUUGCAGAGCCGCGCGGCUGGCCGGCCUGUCGGGAAAGGUGCUCCGCUUCUGCCCUCUGCGCGUCCGUCUGCAGGGGAAGAACCGCGGCUGAAGUUCCGCGCGCUUGAGCGGCGCGCCCCAGCCUUCAGCAGGGACGGAAGCGUUCUGUCGAUCCCGCAACAGCUGCCGCACACCAAGAUGCCUCUGGGUCACCCGGUGGGCGCCGGGUACGGCGCUGGCGGAGCCCCGCGUGCUGCCGCCAGCCGCCUACAGCAGGGUCAGCCCUCCCACCGCACCCCGCUGUCCUGCCUGGCAGCGGGAACCGGCCCUGUGAAGUUCGGUUCUUUCGCAGCUGUGCGGAAUCUCGGCCCCGCGCUGCGCACAGCUGUGCGCUGUGUGUGACGGACGCCUGCACGCGCUCUGCACGUCGGUGCCACGCAGGAGGCUGCUGGUAUCCGCACCCGGCCGCGUGUGCCGAGCGCGCCGGGGUAGCGCCUCGUGCUUAAGGGUACUUCGAGCGUUUUUGAGGGGCUUUUUCACCCGGAUACGCUCACACUUGUCUUGCGCGGCACACUUAGGCCUCAGAAAGCGUGCCGUUAGCGCGAAUUUGUUCCACUUCUCAGAGUCUCUACCGCGCGUUACUUCUGAUCCACCGCCACCCCCGGGGCUUCCCUCUCAGAAACCUGUCUUCUCAAGCAUCCGCCCGCGCACCCGGCGCCGUCCGCAGCACCGUGACCCUCGCAGGGCACUGCUAUAGCGGCGGGCCGUACCCCGGCGCCGAGUACCAGCCGCUGGUUUGGGGCUGGGGGGGGUCUGCCCGGCAGACACUCGCACGUCCCCCGCAGCCCCCGACCCGGCGCGAGAGAGGGCC
Tympanuchus pallidicinctus (lesser prairie-chicken) is the source of this 15975-nucleotide long non-coding RNA. RefSeq lists it as uncharacterized. Lineage: Eukaryota; Metazoa; Chordata; Aves; Galliformes; Phasianidae. The record is from RefSeq and is a predicted model, not a curated record. The transcript is spliced from 7 exons.